RNAcentral lists this long non-coding RNA (234 nucleotides) under Physcomitrium patens. Its description in RNAcentral is "long non-coding RNA (PPAT_LNC010511)". The record is from RNAcentral. Lineage: Eukaryota; Viridiplantae; Streptophyta; Bryopsida; Funariales; Funariaceae.
UGUUGUUGUUGUGGAACAUAUUAGUAAAAAAUUGAACUAGUUUAUAGCAAUUAAUGGUCUUUUAAUAAAGAGUAGGAAGGCAUUUUAUAUAAUCAAUUUAUAAGUUAAUUAAUAGUUGUGAAUUAAAAUAAAUCACCUUAUAGAGGAGUCAUUUAGUUAACAAUUGAGAAGUUAUAGAAUUUAUUAGACACUAAUAUAACAAUCAUCAAGAAAUAUUAGGAUUAUUUGAUAAUU